GGUGGUCAAGUGCAGUGGUGAUUGAACAAAUAAUUGAUUCACAAACCACUUACAAAUUUCGCAUUCCUUCCCCACUCCACCGCUUUGUUGGACUAGCCUAAA
This 102-nucleotide non-coding RNA is filed under the name Macaca nemestrina (pig-tailed macaque). Lineage: Eukaryota; Metazoa; Chordata; Mammalia; Primates; Cercopithecidae. The record is from RNAcentral.